GAGAGAGAGAGAGAGAGAGAGAGAGAGAGAGAUCUCUAUAGAUAGAUAGAUAGAUAGAUAUAUAGAGAGAGAUCUCUAUAGAUUUAGAUAUAGAUUUCUCUCCAUAUAGAUCUCUCUCUCUCUCUCUCUAUCUUUAUAUAU
Molecule: non-coding RNA, 141 nt
Organism: Pelobates cultripes (western spadefoot toad)
Lineage: Eukaryota; Metazoa; Chordata; Amphibia; Anura; Pelobatidae
Source: the annotation of a GenBank genome assembly